CGAGAAAGCCCGCAAGGGUGAGUAAAGCGGCGCACGGGUGCGUAACACGUGGGUAAUCUGCCCUGGAGCCCGGAACAACUCGCCGAAAGGCGAGCUAAUGCCGGAUGAGACCACGGGGGCUUCGGCCCCUGAGGGAAAAGGUGGCCUCUGUACACAAGCUAUCACUUCAGGAUGAGCCCGCGGCCCAUCAGCUAGUUGGCGGGGUAAUGGCCCACCAAGGCGACGACGGGUAGCUGGUCUGAGAGGACGAUCGGCCACACUGGAACUGAGACACGGUCCAGACUCCUACGGGAGGCAGCAGUGGGGAAUCUUGCGCAAUGGGCGAAAGCCUGACGCAGCAACGCCGCGUGUGUGAUGAAGGUCUUCGGAUCGUAAAGCACUGUCGCGAGGGACG
This 394-nucleotide ribosomal RNA is filed under the name uncultured Anaeromyxobacter sp. RNAcentral's name for it is "bacterial SSU rRNA". It matches the Rfam family "Bacterial small subunit ribosomal RNA", at positions 67 to 447 of the family's 1533-position model. Lineage: Bacteria; Pseudomonadati; Myxococcota; Myxococcia; Myxococcales; Anaeromyxobacteraceae. The record is from RNAcentral.